GACUAUAUGCCAAGUUUAGUGAGUGAGAGUUUGGACUAGAGAAGAUUCCAUUCUUUAGACAUGUUUUGUCCGAGUAAGGAAUUGAAGUGGAUUCUAGAAAGGUCAAGUACAUAAAUCACCAGCAACUGUUCGUGAAGUGAGAAGUUUUCUUAAAAUGGUUGGAUGCUAUCGAAGUCAGAUCUGAAUAUGAAGCAUGAGAUGGCUGAAACUGAUCAAAGACUAUAAAUCAGAGAUUUUAUCAUCCGAACAAAACUAAUGUA
RNAcentral lists this long non-coding RNA (260 nucleotides) under Setaria viridis. RNAcentral describes it as "long non-coding RNA (SVIR_LNC010590)". Lineage: Eukaryota; Viridiplantae; Streptophyta; Magnoliopsida; Poales; Poaceae. The record is from RNAcentral.